UACGUAGGGUGCAAGCGUUGUCCGGAAUUAUUGGGCGUACAGAGCUCGUAGGCGGUCUGUCGCGUCGGCUGUGAAAACCCGGAGCUCAACUCCGGGCCUGCAGUCGAUACGGGCAAACUGGAGUGUUGCAGGGGAGACUGGAAUUCCUGGUGUAGCGGUGAAAUGCGCAGAUAUCAGGAGGAACACCGGUGGCGAAGGCGGGUCUCUGGGCAACAACUGACGCUGAGGAGCGAAAGCGUGGGGAGCGAACAGG
RNAcentral lists this ribosomal RNA (253 nucleotides) under uncultured bacterium. RNAcentral describes it as "partial 16S ribosomal RNA". It matches the Rfam family "Bacterial small subunit ribosomal RNA", at positions 524 to 776 of the family's 1533-position model. The record is from RNAcentral.